Non-coding RNA from Zonotrichia albicollis (white-throated sparrow), 73 nucleotides. The record is from the annotation of a RefSeq genome assembly. Lineage: Eukaryota; Metazoa; Chordata; Aves; Passeriformes; Passerellidae.
CCUUCGAUAGCUCAGCUGGUAGAGCGGAGGACUGUAGAUCCUUAGGUCGCUGGUUCAACUCCGGCUCGAAGGA